This 254-nucleotide ribosomal RNA is filed under the name uncultured bacterium. RNAcentral's name for it is "partial 16S ribosomal RNA". It matches the Rfam family "Bacterial small subunit ribosomal RNA", at positions 524 to 776 of the family's 1533-position model. The record is from RNAcentral.
UACAGAGGUCCCAAGCGUUGUUCGGAUUCACUGGGCGUAAAGGGCGCGUAGGCGGCCACCGCAAGUCGACUGUGAAAUCUCCGGGCUUAACCCGGAAAGGUCAGCCGAUACUGCGGGGCUAGAGUGCAGAAGGGGCAACUGGAAUUCUCGGUGUAGCGUUGAAAUGCGUAGAUAUCGAGAGGAACACCUGCGGCGAAGGCGGGUUGCUGGGCUGACACUGACGCUGAUGUGCGAAAGCUAGGGGAGCGAACGGG